GACAGAGGGUGCAAACGUUGCUCGGAAUCACUGGGUGUAAAGCGCGUGUAGGCGGGAGGCCAAGUCUGUGGUGAAAUCGCUCGGCUUAACUGGGCGGGGUCCAUGGAAACUGGUCACCUGGAGGUCGGUAGAGGCAAGUGGAAUUCCCGGUGUAGUGGUGAAAUGCGUAGAGAUCGGGAGGAACACCAGUGGCGAAGGCGGCUUGCUGGGCCGGACCUGACGCUGAGACGCGAAGGCGUGGGGAGCGAACGGGG
This 254-nucleotide ribosomal RNA is filed under the name uncultured bacterium. RNAcentral's name for it is "partial 16S ribosomal RNA". It matches the Rfam family "Bacterial small subunit ribosomal RNA", at positions 524 to 777 of the family's 1533-position model. The record is from RNAcentral.